Molecule: non-coding RNA, 656 nt
Filed under: Strongyloides venezuelensis
Lineage: Eukaryota; Metazoa; Nematoda; Chromadorea; Rhabditida; Strongyloididae
Description: Eukaryotic small subunit ribosomal RNA
Rfam family: Eukaryotic small subunit ribosomal RNA
Source: Rfam by way of RNAcentral
GAGUAGAAAAGCUGUGUUCUUUGAUUUCUCUACAUAGUGGUAAUAUAGUGAUGAUGUUUAAAAAGCAAGUUAUACCUCAAAUGGUUAUUAUUAUAUAAGGAGAGAGGCAACAUGGGAAGGCCGUACUAGGGUAUAACUGUUAAGAUAAGAUUCCGAUAACGAGCGAGACUUUUAUGUUAUAUUAAAUAAUAUUAUUAUUAUUUAUUAAUAAUAUUUAUUUUAAUAACAGAUUAAUAGUGUUUAACUAUUUGAGAGAGAGCAAUAACAGGUCUGUGAUGCCCUUAGAUGUCCGGGGCUGCACGCGCGCUACAAUGUAGUGAUCAUUAUGUUCCUGUUUAGAGAUAAAUGGGUAAACAUUGAAAACAUUACGUAACUGGGAGUGAAAAUUGCAAUUAUUUUUCAUGAACGAGGAAUUCCAAGUAAACGUAAGUCAUUAGCUUACAUUGAUUACGUCCCUGCCCUUUGUACACACCGCCCGUCGCUGCCCGGAACUGAGCAAUAUCGAGAGGCAGGAAGAGAUACAAAAAAUAUUUAUAUUUUUUUGUGUUAAAUCCUUUCAAUCGCUGUUGUUUGAACCGGGCAAAAGUCGUAACAAGGUUUUCGUAGGUGAACCUGCGAAAGUGCUGUACCGUACAUCCGCCUUGGCCGUACAGCAG